GUGGGGGAUAUUGCACAAUGGAGGAAACUCUGAUGCAGCGACGCCGCGUGAGUGAAGAAGUAUUUCGGUAUGUAAAGCUCUAUCAGCAGGGAAGAAAGACUCGUAAGAGAGAUGACGGUACCUGACUAAGAAGCCCCGGCUAACUACGUGCCAGCAGCCGCGGUAAUACGUAGGGGGCAAGCGUUAUCCGGAUUUACUGGGUGUAAAGGGAGCGCAGACGGCUUAGCAAGUCUGAAGUGAAACCCCACGGCUCAACCGUGGGCUUGCUUUGGAAACUGUUAGGCUAGAGUACUGGAGAGGUAAGCGGAAUUCCUAGUGUAGCGGUGAAAUGCGUAGAUAUUAGGAGGAACAUCGGUGGCGAAGGCGGCUUACUGGACAGCAACUGACGUUGAGGCUCGAAGGCGUGGGGAGCAAACAGG
Molecule: ribosomal RNA, 419 nt
Filed under: uncultured rumen bacterium
Lineage: Bacteria
Description: bacterial SSU rRNA
Rfam family: Bacterial small subunit ribosomal RNA
Source: RNAcentral